GAAGCACAUUUCUUGUGUGACCGCGUACUUUUUGUAGAACGGGCCAACGAGUUACGUUAAGUAGCAAGGUUAAGCACUUAAGGUGCGGAGCCGUAGCGAAAGCGAGUUUUAACUGAGCGUUCAGUUAUUUGACGUAGACCCGAAACCGGGCGACCUACCCAUGAGCAGGAUGAAGCGAAAGUAAAAUUUCGUGGAGGUCCGAACCCACGAGCGUUGAAAAGCUCGGGGAUGACUUGUGGGUAGCGGUGAAAUUCC
This 255-nucleotide ribosomal RNA is filed under the name Clostridioides difficile. RNAcentral's name for it is "partial 23S ribosomal RNA". It matches the Rfam family "Bacterial large subunit ribosomal RNA", at positions 576 to 830 of the family's 2925-position model. The record is from RNAcentral. Lineage: Bacteria; Bacillati; Bacillota; Clostridia; Peptostreptococcales; Peptostreptococcaceae.